AAAACCUUCUUUGGCAUUAAGCUUAGAAAAAAACAUAUUAUUGGAAACAUAUGUACUAAGUUUCAAGUUUAUUGGACCUGACCUUCAACAAAAACUACCUUGACCAAAACAUUUAACCUGAAGCGAGAAAACGGACGAAGGAGCAGACGCAUAGACCGGAAAACUAAUGCCCAUUUACUAUCGUAGGUGGGGCAUAAAAAAAUUAAUCAUGAUUUUCUGCCAAUAUGCACAUUUACAUAGCAUGUCCUAACUAUCUAAAAAAUUCAUGAAACUCUGUUGUGGUCUUUAGACAGAUUUUAUGACAAACUGUUGUAGGAGUAUAUAGAAAAUCAAUGAAUUGAUAAUUUCAUAAUUUCCUCAUUAUCUACAAAGAUUUAUAAAACUCUGUUAUGUGGUUUCAGAGGAGUUGCAAUAACGAGAACAGGACUGACAGACCGAUGGAUCAAAAACAUUGUACCAUAAAGAACUUUGUUUGGUUUGGUAUAAUAAAGGGUCUGCUAAAUAAUGUAAGGCUGAGAUAAAUUAGUCAUUUGGUCACACCAGUUUUUUGGCGAGGUUCGUUUUGUUCAGUCUGUGAUGUUCUUUGUUGUGUUUUGCAUUCUGUUGUUUGUUUUUUAAUCUUUCUCUUUUUUUUUGCCGUGGUUUUGUCAGUUUAUUAUUGACUUAUGUGUUUGAAUAAGCCUUUAGUAUCUUUCGCCUCUCUCUUCGGUCAAUUUGAUUAUGUGGGACAUACAGAUUUAGACCCAAACUUGUCUCUGAUUGUUUCGUGAUUAUUGCAGAUGUAAAUCAUACUAUAAAAUUGAGUAUGGAAAUGGGGAAUGUGUCAAGGAGACAACAACCCGACCAUAGAGCAGACAACAGCCGAAGGCCACCGAUAGAUCUUCAAUGUAGCGAGAAACUCCCGCACACGGAGGUGUCCGUCAGCUGGCCCCUAAACAAAUAUGUAUACUAGUUCAGUGAUAAUGGACGUCAUACUAAGCUCCGAAUUAUACACAAGAAACUAAAAUUAUAAAUCAUACAAGACUAACAAAGGUCAGAGGCUCCUAACUUGGGACAGGCGCAAAAUUGCGGCGGGAUUAAACAUGUUUUUUGAGAUCUCAACCCUCCCCUAUACCUGUAGCCAAUGUAGAAAAAAACAAACGCGAAACAAUACGCACAGUAAAACUCAGUUUAAGAGAAGUCCGAGUCCGAUGUCAGAAUAUGAAACAAAAGAAAAUAAACAAAAUGACAAUAAUACAUAAAUAACAACAGACUACUAGCAGUUAUUGACAUGCCAGAACCAGACCUUAAUUAAACUGAUUGAAAGAUUAUGUCUUCAUCAUAUGAAUAUCAGGCACAAUCCCUCCUGUUAGGGGUUUAGUAUUAUACCGUCAUGAAAUAUACAACCC
This 1388-nucleotide long non-coding RNA is filed under the name Mytilus galloprovincialis (Mediterranean mussel). The record is from RNAcentral. Lineage: Eukaryota; Metazoa; Mollusca; Bivalvia; Mytilida; Mytilidae.